UACGUAGGGGGCUAGCGUUGUCCGGAAUCAUUGGGCGUAAAGAGCGUGUAGGCGGCCAGAUAAGUCCGCUGUGAAAUCUCGAGGCUCAACUUCGAGCUGUCGGUGGAAACUGUCUGGCUAGAGUCCGGAAGAGGAGAAUGGAAUUCCUGGUGUAGCGGUGAAAUGCGCAGAUAUCAGGAGGAACACCGGUGGCGAAGGCGGGUCUCUGGGCCGAUACUGACGCUGAGGAGCGAAAGCGUGGGGAGCGAACAGG
This 253-nucleotide ribosomal RNA is filed under the name uncultured bacterium. RNAcentral describes it as "partial 16S ribosomal RNA". It matches the Rfam family "Bacterial small subunit ribosomal RNA", at positions 524 to 776 of the family's 1533-position model. The record is from RNAcentral.